Molecule: transfer RNA, 76 nt
Filed under: Candidatus Kappaea frigidicola
Lineage: Bacteria; Pseudomonadati; Candidatus Omnitrophota
Description: tRNA-Phe
Rfam family: tRNA
About the family: Transfer RNA (tRNA) molecules are approximately 80 nucleotides in length. Their secondary structure includes four short double-helical elements and three loops (D, anti-codon, and T loops).
Source: RNAcentral
GCCGCGGUAGCUCAGUUGGUAGAGCGCGGGACUGAAAAUCCCGGCGUCGGCGGUUCGAUUCCGCCCUGCGGCACCA